CUACAUAGCCAUAGCAUUCCAACUAUACCUGUUCUCAUCUGAUCUCAGAAUCUAAGCAGGGUUUGGUGUAUUUUGUAUUAGUAUGGAGAAAACAAGCAUGGGGA
Molecule: ribosomal RNA, 104 nt
Filed under: Jaculus jaculus (lesser Egyptian jerboa)
Lineage: Eukaryota; Metazoa; Chordata; Mammalia; Rodentia; Dipodidae
Source: RNAcentral